This is a small nuclear RNA of Denticeps clupeoides (denticle herring), 107 nucleotides long. Lineage: Eukaryota; Metazoa; Chordata; Actinopteri; Clupeiformes; Denticipitidae. The record is from Ensembl.
GUGCUUGCUACGGCUGCACAUAUACUAAAAUUGGAUCGAUACAGAGAAGAUUAGCAUGGCCCCUGCGAAAGGAUGACACGCAGAUCCGUGAAGCGUUCCAUAUUUUG